CCUACGGGUGGCAGCAGUGAGGAAUAUUGGUCAAUGGACGAGAGUCUGAACCAGCCAAGUAGCGUGAAGGAUGACUGCCCUAUGGGUUGUAAACUUCUUUUAUAAAGGAAUAAAACGAGGCACGUGUGCCUUUUUGCAUGUACUUUUUGAAUAAGGAUCGGCUAAUUCCGUGCCAGCAGCCGCGGUAAUACGGAGGAUCCGAGCGUUAUCCGGAUUUAGUGGGUUUAAAGGGAGCGUAGAUGGGUUGUUAAGUCAGGUGUGAAAGUUUGCGGCUCAACCGUAAAAUUGCAAUUGAUACUGGCAGUCGUGAGUACAGUUGAGGUAGACGGAAUUCGUGGUGUAGCGGUGAAAUGCUUAGAUAUCACGAAGAACCCCGAUUGCGUAGGCAGCUUACUAAGCUGUGACUGACAUUGAUGCUCGAAAGUGUGGGUAUCAAACGGGAUUAGAUACCCCUGUAGUC
This 460-nucleotide ribosomal RNA is filed under the name uncultured bacterium. RNAcentral describes it as "partial 16S ribosomal RNA". It matches the Rfam family "Bacterial small subunit ribosomal RNA", at positions 338 to 795 of the family's 1533-position model. The record is from RNAcentral.